This 725-nucleotide unclassified non-coding RNA is filed under the name Hevea brasiliensis (rubber tree). The record is from RNAcentral. Lineage: Eukaryota; Viridiplantae; Streptophyta; Magnoliopsida; Malpighiales; Euphorbiaceae.
AUUAGCAUUGUGAAAACUGCACUCCAGCUCUUCUCAGAAAUAUAACCUGUCAGUAAAGGUCCAAUUGCAGCCCCAACUGAGCCUGUGCCAUCUAUAAUUGCAGUAACUGUUGCCAAUGCCCUUGAGUUCCCUUUCAAGGAACUGUGGGUUCCCAAGUCAGCUGAGACAGCUGUUGUUAUUAGUGCAUAAGGCCCAUUCACAAACAUGCCGGUGAUAAACAUAAGGGCAAUAUUUACAACCAAGGAAAUAUGUCCAUAGCUUCGGUAAAAGAAGAGAGCAGGGAUUGCACAGUACAUGAAGCUUGCAGCCGUAAUGGCUCUGGCAUCUAGACGAUCAGAAAUGUGUCCAGCUAAGAUUCCUCCAAUCACCCCUCCCACAUCAAACAAUGUUGAUAAGUUCCCAGCUGUGCCACUUGAUAAGUACUUCCCAUUGAUAGCUGUGUGGCUAAUGUAGAAAGGAAGCCAGUAGAGAAAUGUGUAAGCCACCAAUUUGGCAAAGAAAAGGCAAAGAGCAAAAGGAGCAACCCCUGGAAUUUUCCAUGCUUCAAUGAACCCAACUGCCGUCUCCUUAACCUUGGAGUCUGAUCCCAAAAGAGGCUCUGUAACUUCCUCUUCGGUUUUCUUUGGAUAAUGCAAUUCAUCUUCGUUUCUGUCAAUUCCAACAGAUUCAGGACUAACAGGAAGUACUAGAAAAACCACCAAGCCUAUAAAAGCAAUAAGGAAGCC